GGAAGUUCCAGCAGAUUUUAUCAUCAAAUAAAAAAAUAAAUGCAAGCAGGAAAAAGGGUAGAGUAUAUACAAGAUAAUAAGUUAGCCUACAGAUCAAGUUGUUGAUGACUACUAGGACGUCCUAAAUGCUUUAAACUGAAUAGCUGUAGAGUUAAAUUGUGCACAAGAAAAAAAGUCAACUCUAAGAAACCUGGGACUUCACCUCAAAUAUCAUUCAAUUUCUUUGCCUUCAAAUGUGAUAUUCAUGAAGAAAUGAUAUCGGAACACAUAUGUUCAGCCACUUGCAAUUGCAAUUGCAAUGCAGUUUGAAUAAUCAGAUAAGAUUUUUCCAUUCAAAGU
RNAcentral lists this long non-coding RNA (339 nucleotides) under Setaria viridis. Its description in RNAcentral is "long non-coding RNA (SVIR_LNC009095)". Lineage: Eukaryota; Viridiplantae; Streptophyta; Magnoliopsida; Poales; Poaceae. The record is from RNAcentral.